AUAUUACCGAAACUGUGGAUGAACCUCUUUAGAGGUUCGUGGUAGGAGAGCGUUCUAAGGGCGGUGAAGUCAGACCGGAAGGACUGGUGGAGCGCUUAGAAGUGAGAAGGCCGGUAUGAGUAGCGACAGAAGGGUGAGAAUCCCUUCCACUGAAUAUCUAAGGUUUCCUGAGGAAGGCUCGUCCGCUCAGGGUUAGUCGGGACCUAAGCCGAGGCCGAUAGGCGUAGGCGAUGGAAAACAGGUAGAGAUUCCUGUACCAGUGCUAAUUGUUUAACCGCUGGGGUGACACAGAAGGAUAGGGAAUCGCACGAAGGGAAGGGGGGGCCAAAGCGGGGAGUGGGGAAAUAGGGAAAAUCGGCUCCUCGCGAGGCAUGGGGGGGGUGGGGGAGGAAUUGAGCAAGGGAAAGUUCAGUAUUCCCGGGUGCUAAGAAAAACCUCAGGGAAGAGGAUAACUC
Molecule: ribosomal RNA, 455 nt
Filed under: Listeria monocytogenes
Lineage: Bacteria; Bacillati; Bacillota; Bacilli; Caryophanales; Listeriaceae
Description: partial 23S ribosomal RNA
Rfam family: Bacterial large subunit ribosomal RNA
Source: RNAcentral